Brassica rapa (field mustard) is the source of this 121-nucleotide non-coding RNA. The record is from Rfam. NCBI's taxonomy places the organism in Eukaryota, Viridiplantae, Streptophyta, Magnoliopsida, Brassicales, Brassicaceae.
AGGUGUGAUUGUACUAGCAUUAAUGUACUAAAUCCCAUCAGAACUCCACAGUGAAACGUGCUUGGACGAGAGAAGUACUGAGAUGGGUGACCUCCACCACAAAAAAAACAUAUUUCACCAC